GAUCAUAUAUAAAUAGGAUGGCAGUGAAUGGCAGUUAAAAGCUGGUGCUUUAGUAUUAGCUGAUGGUGGACUGUGUUGCAUAGAUGAGUUUAAUAGUAUUAAUGAUAGAGACAGAUCCUGUAUACAUGAAGCAAUGGAGCAACAAACUAUUAGUGUUGCAAAGGUUGGCCUUGUGUGCAAGUUAAACAUUCGUUGUUCUAUUCUAGCAGCAACUAAUCCUAAGGGAAACUAUGAUCCUGAACUAAGUACAGGUAUUAAUGUUGCAUUGGCUAGUCCACUGUUGAGUCGUUUUGAUGUUGUACUGGUAUUACUUGAUAGUUAUAGA
Molecule: long non-coding RNA, 325 nt
Organism: Amphimedon queenslandica
Lineage: Eukaryota; Metazoa; Porifera; Demospongiae; Haplosclerida; Niphatidae
Exons: 4
Source: RefSeq, a predicted model, not a curated record